Molecule: non-coding RNA, 1523 nt
Organism: Pelobates cultripes (western spadefoot toad)
Lineage: Eukaryota; Metazoa; Chordata; Amphibia; Anura; Pelobatidae
Source: the annotation of a GenBank genome assembly
UAUUAAGAACUGGAUUACUGCCCAAUUCCUUAAGUUCAACUUGUCCAAAACAGAACUUCUGGUCUUUGCUCCCUCAAAUGUUCCUACUCCUAUUUUCUUCCUCCCUUUACAUUAACAGCGUUACCAUCAGCUCCACCAUGCAGGCUUACUGCCUAGGUGUUCUCAUUGACCUCUCCUUCACCCCUCAUGUUCAGUCAAUUGUAAAAUCCAUCCAAACCAUUGUCCAAAUCCACCUCUACUUUACGCCAGAUGCAGCUAAGGUGCUGGUCCAUGCCACUGUCCUCUCUCGCCUUGACUACUGCAAUCCACUUCUCAGUGGUCUUACGUGAUUCCAACUUGCUGCAGUGCAAUCUACAAUGAGUGUGGCGCCGAAGCUCAUCUUCCUGUCUGACCGCACAUCCCACACCUCACCCCUGUGUCAGUCCCUGCAUUUGCUUCCCAUAAUACAUGACUCAAUUUCAAAUUCUGGUUCUUGCUUUCAAGUCCCUACAUAAUGUUACUCUUACCUAUCCAUCCUCCCUAAUACACAAGUAUGUCCUGUCUAGGCCCCUACGCUCCGCUGAAGACCUAAGUCUAUCCUCUGUUCGUACUCCGACCCCUGAUGCUCACCUUCAAGACUUCGAGGGCUGCACCGUUCCUGUGUUCCUGUGUCCCAGUCUCCACUCCACAGAAACCCAUCAAAAGCUCACUUUUUCACAAAAAAUGCAUGUUUAUAGACCGAUACAAAGAUAAAGAAUGUAAAAAUAAAAAGCCUGAGGAAAAAUAGGCAAUCUGAAAGAAAAAUCUUUAUUUCCUUUGCACUGACAGCAGAGCUAUUUUAGCCAAAAUGUUUCCAUUCAGAUUUGCUACAGUUUGGAGAUUAGUAAAUAAGCCCCAUUUUAUUUGAUUUAUUUCUUGUAUUAUCUUUCUGGAUAACUCUCACCAGGAAGCAAUGCUUGCACAAGUCUCACAUUUGUGUGAAGUCAUAAAACUGCUCAGUGGUGCUGACCAUUUCUUAAAAAGUUGUCAGUCUGAGUGUAGUGAGGCGAAUGUGCCCGGUUUAAACUUUUAGCUGAUAGAAUAAUACAAACUCAUUAGCAUGUUGCUCAAUAGCUGGACAUAGAACAAGAGUUCGUUCUUUUCAUCUCCUACCAAGGGAAUCACUGUAAGAAUGCGUUCAGGAUGCCAGUUGAUUACCAUACCGUUAAAUAUCUGUGUUCGUUUUAUUGUGUUGGGGCAUUUUACAGCCUUUUCCUUCUAUACCUUGUAUGUAUUAAACACCAAGCAAAUUCUUUAAACAACUAUGCACUGCAGUAACCAGUCCUUCCCUUUGAUUUCUGGGCUUCAGACCAGCACGUUUUGUAGUAACAAGCUUUGGCAAGGAUUGAGACAGAUUUUUUAAACGCGUCUAAAUAGUGCGGCCUCAUAUAUUUUUUUUCUUACUAACUUUUUUUUUACUGAUUGAAACAUUGACAGUUUUAUUUAAAACUCUUGGGGUUUAUAUACACUUGCCAAGUGCCCCUGCAGGGAAAUAUUUUUUUUUU